AAGUAAUAGAAACUUUAUUUCAAACUAAUGUAAUUUGGCGGCAUUUUAUUUUAUUAGAGGAACCUGUUUAUUAAUCGAUAAUCCACGAUAAAUUUCACUUUUAUUAAAAUUUUAUAUACCACCAUAUCAAAACCAAUUUAAAAAUUCAUUUUAUAAUAUAUACAUAUUAAAAAAUAGGUAAAGGUGUAAACAAUAUAAAAGCUCAAAUGGGUUACACUAAAAAUUAUUUAAAGACAUAAAAAGAAAUCUUUAUUAAAUCAGGAUUUAUAAGUAAUAAAUAAAAUAAUAUUUAUUUAUGAAUAAAAACAAAAAUGUGC
RNAcentral lists this ribosomal RNA (317 nucleotides) under Scharffia chinja. RNAcentral describes it as "partial 12S ribosomal RNA". Lineage: Eukaryota; Metazoa; Arthropoda; Arachnida; Araneae; Cyatholipidae. The record is from RNAcentral.